CUGGACUGCUGAGAACAGACCUGGGGGGAGAAGGAAGCCGGGUGCUGAGAAUACCAGGGGCCAGUCUCACAUGGCCUUGGUCCAAUGUUUUGGUGAAAUAUUGGAGUUUGACCCACACAGGAGGAAGAAAUCAGAUGGAACACACUCUGGUUCACCUCCUCAUUCCCUCCUUCCUCCCACCGAGGGAGGCAUGGACACAGCAUCCACCUUUUAAGCCCAGGCUCACAGGAACUCUUCCUGUCUGUAGAUCACGCUGCCUACAACCAUGACCUGAGCUGCACUCGGCCUUUCUCUGUGAGGCUUGUUCCUUGUCUUCCUGCUCGGCAGCCAUAGCCAGAAAAGCCUAUCUGUCAGACCGCUCCCCACUGUCAAGAGCAACCUCAAGGUGCCUGCAGGUCCUGUUACAUUCUUCCCUGGAUAGCUACUAAGUUCCCAAGCCCACGUGUCUGUCUAACCCCAAGAAGCCAGGGCUGGAUUCUGGCUAAAUAUAAGAUCCUUUCUGCAAAAUGGAAUAUUGGGGCUUCAGGGAAGGUGUGGGCAGGGAAUGAGCAGGACACAGCUGGGUGGAUGUGGAACUUCUGGCAGGUUUUCCAAACAGUGUUUUUUUCCCAAAAGAAGAGGCUGCAGUUUACCUGGGAGUACAGGUGGAGCAACAAAGCUUCCAUCUGAACACAAAAUAAAGCAGCUUGAGAUAGCCAGGGUCGGGGGAUGGCUAGGGGCUCUGGGCAUGUUGUCCCAAAGCAGAGGUUUUGAGAUGGGGGUCUAUGGAUCAUCUUUCUCAAGGCCCUGGGGAAUUGUGGCAGCUCCUGAGGAUGGAUAUGACUGCCCCCCCCAAAUGACCAGAAAUGACCAGAUCUGUCCCCACACACAAAUGACCAGAGAUCCUUAUGAAGCAGAGGUGGACACAAACCUCUCUGUCAAGUACCCGAGUGUCAGGUGGCAUGACGUCAAGCUUUGGCCUUGGGGACCGUUUGGAUUUAAGACAGGGGCUUGGUUAGGUCUCAGUGAAGGCGUGGUAGGGAGGGGGUGGUGCAGGGCGGACAGAACAAGGCAAGGAGGAAGGGAGGGCCUUGUGGUACUGAGCAGCGGGCACUCUGUGCCUCAGUUUCUGUAAAACGCGGGCAAGAGUGGCACCUCCGGGUGUUUGGAUUUUUCUUUUGUAAAGAUGGAGUCUCACAUAGCCCAGGCUACCCUCAGACUUGCUGUGUAGCAGAGGAUGGACUUGAACUUCCAAACCUCUUUGCCUCCACCCCCAGAGUGCUGGGAUGACAGGCAUGAUCCGCCAUGCUCACUUAUGCUGUGCUGGGGAUGGAACCCAGAGCUUCAUGCACAUAGGCAAGCCAUCUACCAACCGGGCUGCCUCCCCAGUCCUUGGAACCUUCCGGUGAAGGUAACGAACGAGUCCACAUAAAAUCAAAAUAGUGGCAGCCCAGCCCAGCUCUCAUUGACUCCUCCAGGCAUUUAAUGGUAUGAUUAUGAUUAUUAUCAUUUAAUCUACUUUCACUCUUUGGGCAUAGGCAAGAUGACCCCAUUUUGCAGAUGGAAAGAAUAAGGCUCGCAGCAGCUUUAACGGCUUGCCCAGUGGUCACUCAGUGGGUGACAUGUGUGUGUGUGUGCCCUGGCUUUAAACUGUGUAAAACCUCUUGUCCCUCCUACUCCCUGAUGUGAGGCUGGAGAGAGAGGAGUGUGUGGUUGGUUUCAGCAGGGGCCAGAGCCACACAGCCUCGGGCCAAGCAUUAGGCAAAGCCAGGAACCCACGGCGGAUCCGUCAAUACCACUGUGAAUCUACCGACAUGGCGGCAGCGUCCACAAACGGAAGCCCCCGCCCCUUCUGAUGUCCUCCACUGGGCUUCGAGCCCCAGAUGUUCCAUAUUGACCCCUUACGGGAAGAGCGGAGCUGGGAGUUGAGAGCCAAAACGGCCCCAGAGGAUACGGGAUGGGGUGAUUGCUUUCUAGACCCACUCCAAAUAUAACCUCAGUAGAAGACA
Peromyscus californicus insignis is the source of this 1988-nucleotide long non-coding RNA. RefSeq lists it as uncharacterized. The record is from RefSeq and is a predicted model, not a curated record. The transcript has 3 exons. NCBI's taxonomy places the organism in Eukaryota, Metazoa, Chordata, Mammalia, Rodentia, Cricetidae.